GGAGGAUGUAAAAGUCGUUGUCGAGGUCAACAUUAAGUUUAGAGCCAGAUAAUAGGGUAACUGCUUGAUCACCCUUGCUGUGAUUUUCUAGCAAAGCUCUUUGUUUUCCAUUCCUGAUGAUCACUGCCCUUCACUUUCCACAGUAACUCUCCCCUCGUACUGACGAACAGGAAAAAAACACUCAAGUCCUUUCUUACAUAAUGUGUUUUUUUGCAGGAGAUCCAGAACUCAAAGAUCCUUGAUGCUUUUUAUCAAUUCCACUAAACGUCAAGGACAGGAAAUAAAAACAUUUUUCUCUUCCGACUCAAACACAAUACCCCUUUGUGAAGCUGCUAAAAAUCUAGAAAUGGCAAAUCUGGGAAAAUUUUCAGAAACCUGGCCAAGAUGUGAAGACCCAGACUGUGGCGCUAUGUUUGGGACUCAGAGGUCUGACACGGGAGCUGAGACUCAGACCAAAGAAUUAAGAUAGUAACAACAUGUUGUCAAUUAAUCAUGCUCAUAAGGUGGUCAAAAUGACCAUGAGGACACAUUUCAGUCUACCGGACAGUAUGCCAGCUUUCAUUCUUGUGCUCAAAGACAAAGAAGAAAGCUUUAAUUUGGUGCAAUAUGGGCCGAAAGUUUAGUUGUCAUAUAUAUUAAACUCAGCCUACAGUCUUACUUGAGU
Molecule: long non-coding RNA, 664 nt
Filed under: Homo sapiens (human)
Lineage: Eukaryota; Metazoa; Chordata; Mammalia; Primates; Hominidae
Description: HSALNT0071606
Source: RNAcentral